This 497-nucleotide ribosomal RNA is filed under the name uncultured bacterium. RNAcentral's name for it is "partial 16S ribosomal RNA". It matches the Rfam family "Bacterial small subunit ribosomal RNA", at positions 28 to 507 of the family's 1533-position model. The record is from RNAcentral.
GAUGAACGCUGGCGGCGUGCCUAAUACAUGCCAGUCGAGCGAACAGACGAGGAGCUUGCUCCUCUGACGUUAGCGGCGGACGGGUGAGUAACACGUGGAUAACCUACCUAUAAGACUGGGAUAACUUCGGGAAACCGGUGCUAAUACCGGAUAAUAUAUUGAACCGCAUGGUUCAAUAGUGAAAGACGGUUUUGCUGUCACUUAUAGAUGGAUCCGCGCCGCAUUAGCUAGUUGGUAAGGUAACGGCUUACCAAGGCGACGAUGCGUAGCCGACCUGAGAGGGUGAUCGGCCACACUGGAACUGAGACACGGUCCAGACUCCUACGGGAGGCAGCAGUAGGGAAUCUUCCGCAAUGGGCGAAAGCCUGACGGAGCAACGCCGCGUGAGUGAUGAAGGUCUUCGGAUCGUAAAACUCUGUUAUUAGGGAAGAACAAAUGUGUAAGUAACUAUGCACGUCUUGACGGUACCUAAUCAGAAAGCCACGGCUAACUACGUG